AGUGAACGCUGGCGGUAGGCCUAACACAUGCAAGUCGAACGGCAGCACAGUAAGAGCUUGCUCUUACGGGUGGCGAGUGGCGGACGGGUGAGGAAUACAUCGGAAUCUACUUUUUCGUGGGGGAUAACGUAGGGAAACUUACGCUAAUACCGCAUACGACCUACGGGUGAAAGCGGGGGAUCUUCGGACCUUGCGCGAUUGAAUGAGCCGAUGUCGGAUUAGCUAGUUGGCGGGGUAAAGGCCCACCAAGGCGACGAUCCGUAGCUGGUCUGAGAGGAUGAUCAGCCACACUGGAACUGAGACACGGUCCAGACUCCUACGGGAGGCAGCAGUGGGGAAUAUUGGACAAUGGGCGCAAGCCUGAUCCAGCCAUACCGCGUGGGUGAAGAAGGCCUUCGGGUUGUAAAGCCCUUUUGUUGGGAAAGAAAAGCAGCAGGUUAAUACCCCGCCGUUCUGACGGUACCCAAAGAAUAAGCACCGGCUAACUUCGUG
Molecule: ribosomal RNA, 492 nt
Filed under: uncultured bacterium
Lineage: Bacteria
Description: partial 16S ribosomal RNA
Rfam family: Bacterial small subunit ribosomal RNA
Source: RNAcentral